RNAcentral lists this ribosomal RNA (280 nucleotides) under uncultured bacterium. RNAcentral describes it as "partial 16S ribosomal RNA". It matches the Rfam family "Archaeal small subunit ribosomal RNA", at positions 456 to 735 of the family's 1478-position model. The record is from RNAcentral.
UGCCAGCCGCCGCGGUAACACCUGCGCCACUAGUGGCAAUCGCUUUUGUUGGGCCUAAAGCGUUCGUAGCCGGCUUUGUAAAUUUUCUGUGAAAUCGUUAUACUCAAGGUAACGACGUGCAGGAAACACUGCAAAGCUAGGGACCGGGAGGCGUCAGAGGUAUUCCGGAGGGAGCGGUAAAAUGCUAUAAUCUCCGGAGGACCCCCUGUGGCGAAGGCGUCUGACGAGAACGGAUCCGACGGUGAGGAACGAAUGCCAGGGGAGCGAACCGGAUUAGAUA